RNAcentral lists this unclassified non-coding RNA (365 nucleotides) under soil metagenome. RNAcentral's name for it is "partial contains 5.8S ribosomal RNA, internal transcribed spacer 2, and large subunit ribosomal RNA". The stretch from base 1 to 120 matches the Rfam family "5.8S ribosomal RNA", at positions 35 to 154 of the family's 154-position model. The record is from RNAcentral.
GAUGAAGAACGUAGCGAAAUGCGAUAAGUAAUGUGAAUUGCAGAAUUCAGUGAAUCAUCGAAUCUUUGAACGCACAUUGCGCCCGCCAGCAUUCUGGCGGGCAUGCCUGUUCGAGCGUCAUUUCAACCCUCGCAGCCCAUCUGGGCAGCGGUGUUGGGGACCGGCACCACCGGCGAAGCCCUUAGGGGCCCAGCCGGCGCCGCCCCCGAAAUACAGUGGCGGUCUCGCUGCAGCCUCCCUUGCGUAGUAGCACACCUCGCACCGGAGCGCAGCGCGGCCACGCCGUAAAACCCCCGACUUUCUGAGUUUGGCCUCGAAUCAGGUAGGAAUACCCGCUGAACUUAAGCAUAUCAAUAAGCGGAGGA